UACGUAGGGGGCAAGCGUUUGUCCGGAUUUAUUGGGCGUAAAGAGCGUGUAGGCGGUUUGGUAGGUCCGCUGUGAAAACUCGAGGCUCAACCUCGAGACGCCGGUGGAAACCAUCAGACUAGAGUCCGGAAGAGGAGAGUGGAAUUCCUGGUGUAGCGGUGAAAUGCGCAGAUAUCAGGAAGAACACCCGUGGCUAAGGCGGCUCUCUAGUACGGUACUGGACGCUGAGACGGCGAAAGCGUGGGGAGCGAACAGG
This 256-nucleotide ribosomal RNA is filed under the name uncultured bacterium. Its description in RNAcentral is "partial 16S ribosomal RNA". It matches the Rfam family "Bacterial small subunit ribosomal RNA", at positions 524 to 776 of the family's 1533-position model. The record is from RNAcentral.